GUUGUUACCGAUGACAAAAUGAGAUCAAUUUUGAUAUUGAUAAUUUUCACUUUUGUCGUUCAGGAGUUAUGGUUCUUAUUGAUUAAAGGCAAAAACUUUUAGAACUGUUCCAUUAAUUUUAUUUCAAGUUUUAAUAGGUUGUUACUUAUGGCCAAAUUGAUGUCAACUUCUAUAUUGACAAUAUUUUAAUAUUGCAUUCAGGUGUAACGGCCCAUAAAUAAAUGUAAUGAAAACCAAGUAUGCUGUAAUUUUGACAGCCACUUGUUUGUGCAUUGUGUUUGCUGAUAGCUAGUCAGGUCCUUGACACAGGACACAUACAUUGUUUAAUGUUAAUAUGCACAAUUACAUUAGAUCCCUCAAAGUUUGAAUUCUAUGUUUCAGUGUAACACACAUUAUUUUAAUUUUGUGCGAGUGUAGUAUAGGAAUUUUCAAAACUCAUCCAUUUUUACCACUUAUAUUUCCAUCACACUUUCUCAG
RNAcentral lists this long non-coding RNA (477 nucleotides) under Mytilus galloprovincialis (Mediterranean mussel). The record is from RNAcentral. Lineage: Eukaryota; Metazoa; Mollusca; Bivalvia; Mytilida; Mytilidae.